GCAUCCAUAGCUCAGAGGAUAGAGCUGCAGUUUCCUAAACUGUGAGUCGGAGGUUCGAAUCCUCUUGGAUGCGCCA
Molecule: transfer RNA, 76 nt
Filed under: Filifactor alocis
Lineage: Bacteria; Bacillati; Bacillota; Clostridia; Peptostreptococcales; Filifactoraceae
Also listed under: 1 other name
Description: tRNA-Arg
Rfam family: tRNA
About the family: Transfer RNA (tRNA) molecules are approximately 80 nucleotides in length. Their secondary structure includes four short double-helical elements and three loops (D, anti-codon, and T loops).
Source: RNAcentral